GACGAACGCUGGCGGCGUGCUUAACACAUGCAAGUCGAACGGAAAGGCCCUGCUUUUGUGGGGUGCUCGAGUGGCGAAGGGGGGAGUAACACGUGUGUAACCUGCACUUGACUUUGGGGUAACUUCAGGAAACUGGGGCUAAUACCGGAUAGGAGCUCCUGCUGCAUGGUGGGGGUUGGAGAGUUUCGGCGGUUGGGGCUGGACUCGCGGGGUAGCAGCGUGUUGGUGGGGUAGUGUGUUAGCAAGGGUUUGAUGGGUAGCCGGCCUGAGAGGGGGACCGGCCACAGGGGAGGUGAGCCACGGACCUGGCUACUACGGGAGGCAGCAGUAGCGAAGGGGCGGCAAUGGGCGAAAGUCUGACGGAGCAGCGCCGCGUGAGUGAUGAAGGCCUCCGGAGCGGAAAACUCGGUUAUUGGGGAAGAACCGCUUUGGCAGUAACUAUGCACGUCUUGACGGUACCUAAUCAGAAAGCCACGGCUAACUACGUG
RNAcentral lists this ribosomal RNA (488 nucleotides) under uncultured bacterium. RNAcentral describes it as "partial 16S ribosomal RNA". It matches the Rfam family "Bacterial small subunit ribosomal RNA", at positions 28 to 507 of the family's 1533-position model. The record is from RNAcentral.